AGAGACCUUUCGAUUUUAGGACGGCAACGCGACGACGACGGCCAAAACAAACUUCUUCAAAUAAAUGGUAGCAAAUAUAAUUCGUCGUAUAUUAUCAAUCGUGUGAAUUUAAUACAGUCUUAGAAGUUGAAGACAUGGGUUUUAUGUUUGGGAAGAGUUCUGCUGAAACCAGUGUGAAGGUGCACUUGUUGCGGCUUGAAAUGCAGCCGUUGUAUCAGGACGUGAAAAUAUGUGAUUUGGCGUUGUAAACAGAGCGAGGACAAUGUCUAAAUUAUUCAUGUAUUGUAAUUAUUCAAUUCUUUUCAAUGGUUUAUUGUAU
RNAcentral lists this long non-coding RNA (319 nucleotides) under Paramuricea clavata. The record is from RNAcentral. Lineage: Eukaryota; Metazoa; Cnidaria; Anthozoa; Malacalcyonacea; Plexauridae.